Molecule: ribosomal RNA, 2592 nt
Filed under: Staphylococcus aureus
Lineage: Bacteria; Bacillati; Bacillota; Bacilli; Caryophanales; Staphylococcaceae
Description: bacterial LSU rRNA
Rfam family: Bacterial large subunit ribosomal RNA
Source: RNAcentral
ACAUUAGACGAAUCAUCUGGAAAGAUGAAUCAAAGAAGGUAAUAAUCCUGUAGUCGAAAAUGUUGUCUCUCUUGAGUGGAUCCUGAGUACGACGGAGCACGUGAAAUUCCGUCGGAAUCUGGGAGGACCAUCUCCUAAGGCUAAAUACUCUCUAGUGACCGAUAGUGAACCAGUACCGUGAGGGAAAGGUGAAAAGCACCCCGGAAGGGGAGUGAAAUAGAACCUGAAACCGUGUGCUUACAAGUAGUCAGAGCCCGUUAAUGGGUGAUGGCGUGCCUUUUGUAGAAUGAACCGGCGAGUUACGAUUUGAUGCAAGGUUAAGCAGUAAAUGUGGAGCCGUAGCGAAAGCGAGUCUGAAUAGGGCGUUUAGUAUUUGGUCGUAGACCCGAAACCAGGUGAUCUACCCUUGGUCAGGUUGAAGUUCAGGUAACACUGAAUGGAGGACCGAACCGACUUACGUUGAAAAGUGAGCGGAUGAACUGAGGGUAGCGGAGAAAUUCCAAUCGAACCUGGAGAUAGCUGGUUCUCUCCGAAAUAGCUUUAGGGCUAGCCUCAAGUGAUGAUUAUUGGAGGUAGAGCACUGUUUGGACGAGGGGCCCCUCUCGGGUUACCGAAUUCAGACAAACUCCGAAUGCCAAUUAAUUUAACUUGGGAGUCAGAACAUGGGUGAUAAGGUCCGUGUUCGAAAGGGAAACAGCCCAGACCACCAGCUAAGGUCCCAAAAUAUAUGUUAAGUGGAAAAGGAUGUGGCGUUGCCCAGACAACUAGGAUGUUGGCUUAGAAGCAGCCAUCAUUUAAAGAGUGCGUAAUAGCUCACUAGUCGAGUGACACUGCGCCGAAAAUGUACCGGGGCUAAACAUAUUACCGAAGCUGUGGAUUGUCCUUUGGACAAUGGUAGGAGAGCGUUCUAAGGGCGUUGAAGCAUGAUCGUAAGGACAUGUGGAGCGCUUAGAAGUGAGAAUGCCGGUGUGAGUAGCGAAAGACGGGUGAGAAUCCCGUCCACCGAUUGACUAAGGUUUCCAGAGGAAGGCUCGUCCGCUCUGGGUUAGUCGGGUCCUAAGCUGAGGCCGACAGGCGUAGGCGAUGGAUAACAGGUUGAUAUUCCUGUACCACCUAUAAUCGUUUUAAUCGAUGGGGGGACGCAGUAGGAUAGGCGAAGCGUGCGAUUGGAUUGCACGUCUAAGCAGUAAGGCUGAGUAUUAGGCAAAUCCGGUACUCGUUAAGGCUGAGCUGUGAUGGGGAGAAGACAUUGAGUCUUCGAGUCGUUGAUUUCACACUGCCGAGAAAAGCCUCUAGAUAGAAAAUAGGUGCCCGUACCGCAAACCGACACAGGUAGUCAAGAUGAGAAUUCUAAGGUGAGCGAGCGAACUCUCGUUAAGGAACUCGGCAAAAUGACCCCGUAACUUCGGGAGAAGGGGUGCUCUUUAGGGUUAACGCCCAGAAGAGCCGCAGUGAAUAGGCCCAAGCGACUGUUUAUCAAAAACACAGGUCUCUGCUAAACCGUAAGGUGAUGUAUAGGGGCUGACGCCUGCCCGGUGCUGGAAGGUUAAGAGGAGUGGUUAGCUUCUGCGAAGCUACGAAUCGAAGCCCCAGUAAACGGCGGCCGUAACUAUAACGGUCCUAAGGUAGCGAAAUUCCUUGUCGGGUAAGUUCCGACCCGCACGAAAGGCGUAACGAUUUGGGCACUGUCUCAACGAGAGACUCGGUGAAAUCAUAGUACCUGUGAAGAUGCAGGUUACCCGCGACAGGACGGAAAGACCCCGUGGAGCUUUACUGUAGCCUGAUAUUGAAAUUCGGCACAGCUUGUACAGGAUAGGUAGGAGCCUUUGAAACGUGAGCGCUAGCUUACGUGGAGGCGCUGGUGGGAUACUACCCUAGCUGUGUUGGCUUUCUAACCCGCACCACUUAUCGUGGUGGGAGACAGUGUCAGGCGGGCAGUUUGACUGGGGCGGUCGCCUCCUAAAAGGUAACGGAGGCGCUCAAAGGUUCCCUCAGAAUGGUUGGAAAUCAUUCAUAGAGUGUAAAGGCAUAAGGGAGCUUGACUGCGAGACCUACAAGUCGAGCAGGGUCGAAAGACGGACUUAGUGAUCCGGUGGUUCCGCAUGGAAGGGCCAUCGCUCAACGGAUAAAAGCUACCCCGGGGAUAACAGGCUUAUCUCCCCCAAGAGUUCACAUCGACGGGGAGGUUUGGCACCUCGAUGUCGGCUCAUCGCAUCCUGGGGCUGUAGUCGGUCCCAAGGGUUGGGCUGUUCGCCCAUUAAAGCGGUACGCGAGCUGGGUUCAGAACGUCGUGAGACAGUUCGGUCCCUAUCCGUCGUGGGCGUAGGAAAUUUGAGAGGAGCUGUCCUUAGUACGAGAGGACCGGGAUGGACAUACCUCUGGUGUACCAGUUGUCGUGCCAACGGCAUAGCUGGGUAGCUAUGUGUGGACGGGAUAAGUGCUGAAAGCAUCUAAGCAUGAAGCCCCCCUCAAGAUGAGAUUUCCCAACUUCGGUUAUAAGAUCCCUCAAAGAUGAUGAGGUUAAUAGGUUCGAGGUGGAAGCAUGGUGACAUGUGGAGCUGACGAAUACUAAUCGAUCGAAGACUUAAUCAA